GGUGAGGUGGCUGAGUGGUCGAAAGCGGCGCUUUGCUAAAGCGUUGUACCCUUUAAAAGGUACCCAGGGUUCGAAUCCCUGCCUCACCG
This is a transfer RNA of Chthoniobacter flavus Ellin428, 89 nucleotides long. It matches the Rfam family "tRNA". From Rfam's summary of the family: Transfer RNA (tRNA) molecules are approximately 80 nucleotides in length. The record is from Rfam. NCBI's taxonomy places the organism in Bacteria, Pseudomonadati, Verrucomicrobiota, Spartobacteria, Chthoniobacterales, Chthoniobacteraceae.